Non-coding RNA from Picea glauca (white spruce), 121 nucleotides. NCBI's taxonomy places the organism in Eukaryota, Viridiplantae, Streptophyta, Pinopsida, Pinales, Pinaceae. The record is from Rfam.
ACAUGCCUACAAAAUAACAUUAAUGCAACGAAUCCCAUUAGAAAUUUGUAGUUAAGCGCACUCAGGCUAGAGUAGUUAUGGGAUGGGUGACAGCCCGUGAAGUCCUAGUGUUUUACAUUCC